Molecule: ribosomal RNA, 207 nt
Filed under: uncultured bacterium
Lineage: Bacteria
Description: partial 16S ribosomal RNA
Rfam family: Bacterial small subunit ribosomal RNA
Source: RNAcentral
CGUGUAGGCGGAUUGAUAAGUUUGAAGUGAAAUCCUAUAGCUUAACUAUAGAACUGCUUUGAAAACUGUUAAUCUAGAAUGUGGGAGAGGUAGAUGGAAUUUCUGGUGUAGGGGUAAAAUCCGUAGAGAUCAGAAGGAAUACCGAUUGCGAAGGCGAUCUACUGAAACAAUAUUGACGCUGAGACGCGAAAGCGUGGGGAGCAAACA